This 172-nucleotide ribosomal RNA is filed under the name uncultured Dehalobacter sp. Its description in RNAcentral is "partial 16S ribosomal RNA". It matches the Rfam family "Bacterial small subunit ribosomal RNA", at positions 1211 to 1382 of the family's 1533-position model. The record is from RNAcentral. Lineage: Bacteria; Bacillati; Bacillota; Clostridia; Eubacteriales; Desulfitobacteriaceae.
GGGCUACACACGUGCUACAAUGGGCAGUACAGACGGAAGCGAAGCUGUGAAGUGGAGCAAAUCCGAGAAAGCUGUUCGUAGUUCGGAUUGUAGGCUGCAACUCGCCUACAUGAAGUCGGAAUCGCUAGUAAUCGCAGGUCAGCACACUGCGGUGAAUACGUUCCCGGGCCUU